ACACCGUAGUCCCCCACCGGAUAAUUACACUUUGGCUCUUCGCAAAGCACUUAUGUUCUUCAAUGCUCAACGCUGUAAGUAAUUUCCCCAAUUUCCUUCAGGUUUCUGAUCUGUGGGAUUCAGAUUCUUAUUUGAAUUGUACUAUUGUAUUCGAUCCUGCCUAUGUCUGACUUACUAGUGAAGUAUCUCUUUACUCUAAAGCAUUAAAAAUUGGAAGAUCCAUGUUGUUUUCUGAAGAAUAGAAUAUUGCCAUCUAUUCUUCUAUGUUUCCUUUACUUGAUGAUUAAGAUACCAAGAUUACUGGGUUUUAAGAUGCAGACUUAUGAUUUUACCUUCAGCAAAUUUAUCUGUGGACUAUCUGGAUUUGGGUGUUUCUAUUUUUUGAUGAUUGACAGCUACAUUUUGGGUCAGAUUGGUGGUUAUUUGUUCAGUUUGUCAUUUAAUUAUCUCUUUGUUUUUGGCAGCUGGGAAACUACCUAAGCACAAUAAUGUAUCAUGGAGGGGGAGUUCAGGUAUGCAAGACGGCAAAUCUGAUGAUUCAACCAUGUUUAAGAAUUUGGUUGGUGGCUAUUAUGAUGCAGGAGAUGCAAUAAAGUUUAAGACUGUUCCUAAGCACCGACACCGUAGUCCCCCACCGGAUAAUUACACUUUGGCUCUUCGCAAAGCACUUAUGUUCUUCAAUGCCCAACGCUGUAAGUAAUUUCCCCAAUUUCCUUCAGGUAUCUGAUCUAUCUUCCCUCAAUCUUUUGCUCUCACUAUGUUAAGUUGGAGUGUGAUUGAGUAUAGUGCAAAAUAUGAAGCUGCUGGGGAGCUCAGUCAUGUCAAAGAUAUUAUUAAGUGGGGUACUGAUUACCUCCUCAAAACCUUCAAUUCCUCUGC
RNAcentral lists this long non-coding RNA (879 nucleotides) under Nicotiana benthamiana. RNAcentral describes it as "long non-coding RNA (NBEN_LNC020132)". Lineage: Eukaryota; Viridiplantae; Streptophyta; Magnoliopsida; Solanales; Solanaceae. The record is from RNAcentral.